UGGGGAAUAUUGCGCAAUGGGGGGAAACCCUGACGCAGCAACGCCGCGUGAAGGAUGAAGGCCUUCGGGUUGUAAACUUCUUUGAUGAGGGAAGAAUAAUGACGGUACCUCAAAAACAAGCCACGGCUAACUACGUGCCAGCAGCCGCGGUAAUACGUAGGUGGCGAGCGUUGUCCGGAAUUACUGGGUGUAAAGGGCGUGUAGGCGGGGAUGUAAGUCAGAUGUGAAAUUCCGAAGCUCAACUUCGGCGCUGCAUCUGAAACUAUAUCUCUUGAGUGCUGGAGAGGAAAGCGGUAUUCCUAGUGUAGCGGUGAAAUGCGUAGAUAUUAGGAGGAACACCAGUGGCGAAGGCGGCUUUCUGGACAGUAACUGACGCUGAGGCGCGAAAGCGUGGGGAGCAAACAGGAUUAGAUACCCUGGUAGUCCACGCCGUAAACGAUGGAUACUAGGUGUAGGAGGUAUCGACCCUUCUGUGCCGGAGUUAACACAAUAAGUAU
This 497-nucleotide ribosomal RNA is filed under the name uncultured Bacillota bacterium. RNAcentral's name for it is "bacterial SSU rRNA". It matches the Rfam family "Bacterial small subunit ribosomal RNA", at positions 355 to 867 of the family's 1533-position model. Lineage: Bacteria; Bacillati; Bacillota. The record is from RNAcentral.